AGCAGCCGCGGUAAUUCCAGCUCCAAUAGCGUAUAUUAAAGUUGUUGCAGUUAAAAAGCUCGUAGUUGAAUUUCGGGAUUAGUACGUUGGUCGUGCCUUAGGUACGUACUGGUGUUACUGGUUCCUACCUUCUGACGAACCAUCAUGUCAUUAAUUUGGUGUGGCGGGGAAUCAGGACUGUUACUUUGAAAAAAUUAGAGUGUUUAAAGCAGGCUCGCGCUUGAAUACAUUAGCAUGGAAUAAUGAAAUAGGACGUUGACCCUAUUUUGUUGGUUUCUAGGAUUGACGUAAUGAUUAAUAGGGAUAGUUGGGGGCAUUAGUAUUCAAUUGUCAGAGGUGAAAUUCUUGGAUUUAUUGAAGACUAACUACUGCGAAAGCAUUUUGCCAAGGAUGUUUUCAUUAAUCMAGAACGAAAGUUAGGGGAUCGAAGACGAUCAGAUACCGUCGUAGUCUUAACCAUAAACUAUGCCGACUAGGGAUCGGAUGAUGUUAAUUUUUUAAUGACUCA
Molecule: ribosomal RNA, 508 nt
Filed under: Glomus sp. MO-G5
Lineage: Eukaryota; Fungi; Glomeromycota; Glomeromycetes; Glomerales; Glomeraceae
Description: SSU rRNA
Rfam family: Eukaryotic small subunit ribosomal RNA
Source: RNAcentral